GCUUACGGCCAUACCACCCUGAACACGUCCGAUCUCGUUUGAUCUCGCAAGCUAAGCAAGGUCGGGCCUGGUCACUACUUGGAUGGGAGACCGCCUGGUAAUAUCAGUUGCUGUAAGUU
This 119-nucleotide ribosomal RNA is filed under the name Maylandia zebra (zebra mbuna). The record is from RNAcentral. Lineage: Eukaryota; Metazoa; Chordata; Actinopteri; Cichliformes; Cichlidae.